AUACGGAGGUUGCGAGCGUUACUCGGAGUCACUGGGCGUAAAGCGUCCGUAGGCGGUCGGGUAAGUCGGGUGUGAAAGCCCCGGGCUCAACCUGGGAAGUGCACCCGAUACUGCUCGACUCGAGUGCGGGAGAGGAUGGCGGAAUUCCCGGUGUAGCGGUGAAAUGCGUAGAGAUCGGGAGGAACACCAGUGGCGAAGGCGGCCAUCUGGCCCGCAACUGACGCUGAGGGACGAAAGCGUGGGGAGCAAACAGGAUUAGAAACCCGUGUAGUCC
RNAcentral lists this ribosomal RNA (274 nucleotides) under uncultured bacterium. RNAcentral's name for it is "partial 16S ribosomal RNA". It matches the Rfam family "Bacterial small subunit ribosomal RNA", at positions 523 to 796 of the family's 1533-position model. The record is from RNAcentral.